This 491-nucleotide ribosomal RNA is filed under the name uncultured bacterium. Its description in RNAcentral is "partial 16S ribosomal RNA". It matches the Rfam family "Bacterial small subunit ribosomal RNA", at positions 29 to 506 of the family's 1533-position model. The record is from RNAcentral.
AGUGAACGCUGGCGGUAGGCCUAACACAUGCAAGUCGAACGGCAGCACAGUAAGAGCUUGCUCUUACGGGUGGCGAGUGGCGGACGGGUGAGGAAUACAUCGGAAUCUACUUUUUCGUGGGGGAUAACGUAGGGAAACUUACGCUAAUACCGCAUACGACCUACGGGUGAAAGCAGGGGAUCUUCGGACCUUGCGCGAUUGAAUGAGCCGAUGUCGGAUUAGCUAGUUGGCGGGGUAAAGGCCCACCAAGGCGACGAUCCGUAGCUGGUCUGAGAGGAUGAUCAGCCACACUGGAACUGAGACACGGUCCAGACUCCUACGGGAGGCAGCAGUGGGGAAUAUUGGACAAUGGGCGCAAGCCUGAUCCAGCCAUACCGCGUGGGUGAAGAAGGCCUUCGGGUUGUAAAGCCCUUUUGUUGGGAAAGAAAAGCAGCAGGUUAAUACCCCGCUGUUCGGACGGUACCCAAAGAAUAAGCACCGGCGAACUUCGU